GGGAAAGUGGUCUAAUGGUAGGGCACACUGUUGAUGAGUGGGAUGUGGGUUCGACUCCCGCCUUUUCCG
RNAcentral lists this transfer RNA (69 nucleotides) under Fulvia fulva CBS 131901. Its description in RNAcentral is "tRNA-Ser (TGA) (tRNA-Ser-TGA-2-1)". It matches the Rfam family "tRNA". From Rfam's summary of the family: Transfer RNA (tRNA) molecules are approximately 80 nucleotides in length. Their secondary structure includes four short double-helical elements and three loops (D, anti-codon, and T loops). Further hydrogen bonds mediate the characteristic L-shaped molecular structure. tRNAs have two regions of fundamental functional importance: the anti-codon, which is responsible for specific mRNA codon recognition, and the 3' end, to which the tRNAs corresponding amino acid is attached (by aminoacyl-tRNA synthetases). tRNAs cope with the degeneracy of the genetic code in two manners: having more than one tRNA (with a specific anti-codon) for a particular amino acid; and 'wobble' base-pairing, i.e. permitting non-standard base-pairing at the 3rd anti-codon position. Lineage: Eukaryota; Fungi; Ascomycota; Dothideomycetes; Mycosphaerellales; Mycosphaerellaceae. The record is from RNAcentral.